CAUCAUCUCAACACUUUUAACACCAUCUUUCUCAAUCUUCUUAUAUUUUUACUCUCUGCAGUUCUAUGGGUAAGCAAGUGGUUCAUCCUUCGUUAUCUUUCUGCUCCCAAUAAACAACCAUCCAAUUCCAUGGCUUCCAUCUGUGUUGUUGUGACUAUUAUUCUCAAGUUUGUUUGAUAUCCUGUUACUAUACUUCUGUAAGUUUCACUCUUUCAUUUCUGAUAAUUCUUUUUCGGUUAGCUUCUUCACUCUGUCUGCUUUUUAUUUGUUUACUACUUUCUUGAUAAUUCUUCAUCCUUAGAUUCUACAUUGUUCCUGCUUCUUAAUUAUUCACUACUUGUAUUCAUUUGUGCUCCUCUUACUUUGUUCUGCAAAUUUUGUUGUUUUGUGCCAUGGAAAAUGUAGUUGUAAAUAUAUGAUAAAGAAAAUGUUAUUAAAGAUGUUUGAAGUAGUAAUAAAGUUAACUAAUAUCUAUAGUUUAGUGUCUUAGAGGAUGAUCUAAAUUCGAGUUUGGUUGUAGAGCCUGUUUGGAUUGACUUUUCAUUUCUGACUUAUAAGCAAAAGUCAUAAGUUAGAAGUACUAACUUGUGGCUUAUUUUUAGCAUUUUAUCUUAAAAGUUAGUACUUGUGGCAUAUUUUUAGCAUUUUAGCUUAAAACUAAGUGCUUAUUAAACACUUUUUUGACUUAUUCACACACUCCAAAAGUGCUUAAAGGCUAUUUUAGCUUUAAAACACUUAAAAUAAGCUAAUCCAAUUGCGUUAUUAAGUUUGGUAAGUGUUUAAAUAGUUCCCUUGCUGUUUAUUUUGACUAAUGAUUCUGGAUCCAAUUGAUGUGGAGAAGUUGUUCAAGCUUUAGUACAAUAGUCCUGAAGUUCUUGAAACAAAGUCGACCUUGACCUGCUAUUUUUUCCCUUUUGUACCGUCUUGAUGACUGAUGCUUUAACAAGGUAUGUGACACUCUUUUAUUACUACACUCUACAUUCACUACUUAAAACACUUCUCCCAUUUCAAUAUAGAAUCUCUACAGAUAUUUUGUGCACACAAUUGCAGCUGUAAUUAAGAACGACAUGCCAACCACCAACAAAGUAAUCGACUGCAUUACUAUAUUACCUUUUACCGAUAUGUGCUUCUGUGAACAUUUGUAAAUGAUGUAUAAAUAGUGCAAUCACGAAUCUUAUGUACAAACAAUAUGUGUAUGUAUAAAUUAGCCAUCUUUAGCUA
Solanum tuberosum (potato) is the source of this 1221-nucleotide long non-coding RNA. RefSeq lists it as uncharacterized. NCBI's taxonomy places the organism in Eukaryota, Viridiplantae, Streptophyta, Magnoliopsida, Solanales, Solanaceae. The record is from RefSeq and is a predicted model, not a curated record. The transcript is spliced from 2 exons.